Molecule: unclassified non-coding RNA, 137 nt
Filed under: uncultured fungus
Lineage: Eukaryota; Fungi
Description: sequence contains ITS1
Source: RNAcentral
UUGAUUAUUAUAAAGUUCUCAGACGACAAAUAUUAAGAGUAUGCUGCCCGAAGGCAAGGCAACCGGUCAACAUCAAGAAAGGGAGAUUGGCGUGAGCCAACUCGGUAAUGAUCCCUCCGCAGGUUCACCUACGGAGA